Molecule: long non-coding RNA, 2098 nt
Organism: Candoia aspera
Lineage: Eukaryota; Metazoa; Chordata; Lepidosauria; Squamata; Candoiidae
Exons: 2
Source: RefSeq, a predicted model, not a curated record
GUUUCAAUGACAUGGAGUAAGUAUUCAGAAUAAUUGUAUACUUGUAGCUAAUUUGUGUUAUUUAUUCCUCUGUAGGAGGUAAAAACAUUUUCAAAAAGCUGAGUAAAAACCCUUAAGUUUAUUUCCUUAGUUUUGAUUAAUCCAAAAGCUAAACCAGUUCCUUUUUCCUCAAAAAGACUAGGCAAAAAGCCAUCUAUCAAAGAUUGAAAAAACUCAUUUGCAGGACAUGCUUAACUGAGUUAUGAGGGAGAAUGAUGUCUGUGUCAUAUGAACAAUAAAACUGGGUUAAUCAACUUAGUCAAUCAACCACAAAAGGUUUAGAUUUAGUCCCAAAUAGCCAAUCUCUCUUGUUGUUGAAGUUUAAUUUUAAAAAUUCCAAUAUGCAUUUCCCCCUUGCUUUUUUCAAGGAAUAAAGCCAUAGUAGCUUUGUAAGAUUAGAGAGACAUUUGGGACCACUGUUUGCUGAUGUAAGAUUGAUAGUUUAGAGUUGCUCUUAAUUUCACUUUCUGUCCUUUCCAUUUUAUAUUUCAGAACAGCUAUGAUUCUGGAGCUUAUGGAGGGAUAUGUAUUAGCAAAUGUACAGAUGCUCUGACCAGUUUUGAGAAGAACUCAAAAUUCAAUGCUAGGAUUCCAGAAACAUUCAACAUUUCGAGAAUAUGGGAGAUGACAUGUCUGUUCCUCCUGACUGAAAAUUUCCUUGGAGAGGACAUUGCAAGAGAGGACAACAUGGAGUUCAAAGUUGCAAGAUGCUUAUUUGAGUCUACAUGCUAAAAUGGCAUCUCAACUUCCUGCUCUUAACCGGGCAGGGAGGACAGAAUCAGCAUCUACAGUCAGUUCUGCUGGGUGCCUCUAUUUUGGCAGUUCUCAAAGGUACCAAGGGAUGGCCCUAUUCUGCUUUGCUCCUCUCUCCCAAAAUGGAUGCAUAAAUGAAGUGGAUAUUCCUCAAAGCUGGUCUACAGUGCUUUCUCAAAGACAGAUGACCCCUGGGGACCACAAAUCACUAACAUGCCCUCUUCUGUUCUAUAUUUAGAAUGGCAGAAGUUUUGUUAACAACAAGGUUGGCGACAACAGCUUCAAUGACAAUGGCAAUUCUGUUAAUGGACCUGAAAUCUGGGUAAGCUUAUAUAAUUCUGAACCUCUCUGUUCAGGACUUCAUUCUGUUAAGUAGCUUCCUGCUGCUGAGAUCCCAAUGUCCAACUCUGGUCAACUUCCCUUUCUGCUGUGGGAUCCAUCAUAACUUAGACUGCUGAUUUUGCCUAAAAGGAAGUUCAUUUUGUUAUGAAACCAUGGCUGGGGAGCAGGAAACAGCAUAAAGCAAUAUUACAACCUCCUUGUUGAAACAGAUCAGAAAUCUACCUGAUUUAGAACCCUGCUCCCAGUGGGAAGUUCCCAAUCAGAUAUGGAGUCAAGAGCCUUGGUUAUUUGUCCCCAGCAUCAACAGCUUCAAGCCGUUGAGCCUGCACAAUCACCAUAUUCUUAUUCUUAUCUCUAAGAUACUCCAGAUGUUACCAAGCGCUUCCUUCUCCAUAAAUGAGAAAUGAAUCCAGUAAUUGUGUACAGAUCUUCUUAUUGUAAAUGAUGGUGAUGAUUACUUACUGAGAGUCUCAUGAUAUUUAAAUUUUAAGGAUGUUUUAUUUUCUUCUUUAUAGUACUAAUAACCUACCAGCAGAGUUCCAGAUGCCCUCUGCUCAGACGUUUUGCCAAGGAUAUUGUUGCUGACUCAAAUGAUUCUUUUUACUUGGUGUUGAACCUUUCUCUGCUACUGACUAUGCUUCUUCUUGCAAAUAAUAAACAUGACCUUGCAGAACAGUUGUGCCGCAAAGUGAACUUUGUUACCUCCUUAAUCCAUCUACAACCCAGUGGAUUAAAAGGGUCCUGUGGAUCAAUCCAAAAGCUAAACCGAUACCGUUUUUUUUUUCCACAAAAGAAUUGGGCACAAAGCCAUCCAUCAAAGAUUUGGGGAACUCAUAGGCUUUAAUUGGGUUAGAGGGGGAAGAAAACGGUGUCAAUUGACUCAGUCAAUUAACCCCGAGAGGAUCAGGUUUAAUCUGUAAUAGACUCUGUUUUCUCUGGGAUUAAACUAACUCCUCCACAGCAA